Macrobrachium nipponense is the source of this 518-nucleotide long non-coding RNA. RefSeq lists it as uncharacterized. Lineage: Eukaryota; Metazoa; Arthropoda; Malacostraca; Decapoda; Palaemonidae. The transcript has 4 exons. The record is from RefSeq and is a predicted model, not a curated record.
GCUAAAAGCUAUCUGGAAGGUGUUCAGUCCGGCUGUAACAUUGGUCUCGGUGAGCCAUGUUUUUCGGUCCUUCGUUAACGUCGCAUUUUGAUAACGUGACUCCAAGGAGAUAUUAUCGUUGAUUAAGUUGAAGCCUUCUCGAGAACCUGGGAUGUGGUGAAGACGCACAAGAUGUCGUUACUGAAACACAAAACAGACAGCAGCUAUCAAGUGACGUAAAGGAUGUGUAGAAAUAAGCUUUAGGAAGUGGUUUCAUUCCAGCAUGAUAAACGAUCCUCGAGCGAGAGACAACAUCCCUUCAUAUGUGUGGAACAUAACUGCUAUAUCAAGUUUCCAUCCUUGGACGAAUGUUGACGCCUAGCACAAGAAUUUACCUCAAGUGACCGAGUCUACAGUCGACCGACAAUCGCCCGGACGGAGAGGAGAAUGUAAGGGACGUCAUAACCUUCUUAUUGAAGUCGCCACCUCGUCCUGACGUUAAUGAACUAGUUGGCAAGUCCAGACGUUAAUGAACUAGU